GCGAGUGGCGAACGGGUGAGUAAUAUAUCGGAACGUGCCCUAGAGUGGGGGAUAACUAGUCGAAAGACUAGCUAAUACCGCAUACGAUCUACGGAUGAAAGUGGGGGAUCGCAAGACCUCAUGCUCCUGGAGCGGCCGAUAUCUGAUUAGCUAGUUGGUGGGGUAAAAGCCUACCAAGGCAACGAUCAGUAGCUGGUCUGAGAGGACGACCAGCCACACUGGGACUGAGACACGGCCCAGACUCC
Molecule: ribosomal RNA, 245 nt
Filed under: uncultured bacterium
Lineage: Bacteria
Description: partial 16S ribosomal RNA
Rfam family: Bacterial small subunit ribosomal RNA
Source: RNAcentral